Molecule: ribosomal RNA, 222 nt
Filed under: uncultured bacterium
Lineage: Bacteria
Description: partial 16S ribosomal RNA
Rfam family: Bacterial small subunit ribosomal RNA
Source: RNAcentral
AAACCGUUACUCAGUUCAGAUUGCAGGCUGCAGCCCGCCUGCAUGAAGUCGGAAUUGCUAGUAAUCGCGGAUCAGCGUGCCGCGGUGAAUACGUUCCCGGGCCUUGUACACACCGCCCGUCACACCAUGGGAGCCGGUAAUACCCGAAGUCAGUAGUCCAACCUCGUGAGGACGCUGCCGAAGGUAGGAUUGGCGACUGGGGUGAAGUCGUAACAAGGUACC